GUAACGCGUAUCCAACCUCCCCACUAGUAGGGCGACAGCCCGGCGAAAGUCGGAUUAAUUCCUAUGCAGUCCAGAGAGGACAUCUGACCUGGACGAAAGAUUCAUCGCUAUGGGAUGGGGAUGCGUCUGAUUAGGUUGCAGGCGGGGUAACGGCCCACCUGGCCGACGAUCAGUAGGGGUUCUGAGAGGAAGGUCCCCCACAUUGGAACUGAGACACGGUCCAAACUCCUACGGGAGGCAGCAGUGAGGAAUAUUGGUCAAUGGACGGAAGUCUGAACCAGCCAAGUAGCGUGCAGGAAUGACGGCCCUAUGGGUUGUAAACUGCUUUUAUCAGGGGAUAAAGUGAGGUAUGUAUACCUUUUUGCAUGUACCUGAUGAAUAAGGACCGGCUAAUUCCGUGCCAGCCGCUGC
Molecule: ribosomal RNA, 411 nt
Filed under: uncultured bacterium
Lineage: Bacteria
Description: bacterial SSU rRNA
Rfam family: Bacterial small subunit ribosomal RNA
Source: RNAcentral